Molecule: ribosomal RNA, 484 nt
Filed under: uncultured bacterium
Lineage: Bacteria
Description: partial 16S ribosomal RNA
Rfam family: Bacterial small subunit ribosomal RNA
Source: RNAcentral
AUUGAACGCUGGCGGCAUGCUUUACACAUGCAAGUCGAACGGCAGCGCGGGCUUCGGCCUGGCGGCGAGUGGCGAACGGGUGAGUAAUGCAUCGGAACGUGCCCAGCAGUGGGGGAUAGCCCGGCGAAAGCCGGAUUAAUACCGCAUACGACCUGAGGGUGAAAGCGGGGGACCGAAAGGCCUCGCGCUAUUGGAGCGGCCGAUGUCGGAUUAGCUAGUUGGUGGGGUAAAGGCUUACCAAGGCGACGAUCCGUAGCUGGUCUGAGAGGACGACCAGCCACACUGGAACUGAGACACGGCCCAGACUCCUACGGGAGGCAGCAGUGGGGAAUUUUGGACAAUGGGGGCAACCCUGAUCCAGCCAUGCCGCGUGCGGGAAGAAGGCCUUCGGGUUGUAAACCGCUUUUGUUCGGGAAGAAAUCCUCUGGGCUAAUACCCCGGGGGGAUGACGGUACCGGAAGAAUAAGCACCGGCUAACUACGUG